RNAcentral lists this unclassified non-coding RNA (222 nucleotides) under Hevea brasiliensis (rubber tree). The record is from RNAcentral. Lineage: Eukaryota; Viridiplantae; Streptophyta; Magnoliopsida; Malpighiales; Euphorbiaceae.
UUCAAGCUUUCUUUCUAAUACCUGCACUUGUGUAAAAUAUAAAUGUGCAAAGUGUUACAUUGACACAAGAAUUCUCUUAAAUGGAAGGGAAUCACAAGGAAUUGCCACAUACUAGCUAAACAAUUAAUCUAACAGAGCAUUUUAAAACAAUAAAACCAAACAAAAAACAUAUUUAUAUAACUAGGGGGACAAAGAAAAUCUUGCCUGUUUCUGGAACUGCUG